Molecule: ribosomal RNA, 253 nt
Filed under: uncultured bacterium
Lineage: Bacteria
Description: partial 16S ribosomal RNA
Rfam family: Bacterial small subunit ribosomal RNA
Source: RNAcentral
UACAGAGGUCUCAAGCGUUGUUCGGAUUCAUUGGGCGUAAAGGGUGCGUAGGUGGUGAGGUAAGUCUGAUGUGAAAUCUCCGAGCUUAACUCGGAAAUGGCAUUGGAAACUACUUUGCUAGAGGGUUGGAGGGGAGACUGGAAUUCUUGGUGUAGCAGUGAAAUGCGUAGAUAUCAAGAGGAACACCGGUGGCGAAGGCGGCGUUCUGGACUGCAACUGACACUGAAAAACGAAAGCCAGGGGAGCAAACGGG